RNAcentral lists this non-coding RNA (21 nucleotides) under Caenorhabditis elegans. Lineage: Eukaryota; Metazoa; Nematoda; Chromadorea; Rhabditida; Rhabditidae. The record is from RNAcentral.
UCCGUCGAUUAUUUUUGCAUA